Molecule: long non-coding RNA, 2051 nt
Filed under: Sus scrofa (pig)
Lineage: Eukaryota; Metazoa; Chordata; Mammalia; Artiodactyla; Suidae
Description: lncRNA (ENSSSCG00045019678.1)
Source: RNAcentral
AGUGCCAGCCGGGCAGUGGCCUGGAGACCACGGGGCAGAGCCGGAGCGCCAUGCUCCUCUCUGCGUGGCUGUGCUGCGUGUGGACGAGUCCUCAGAAAGAGAAAAACUGCUCUCCUGAGGGUGGCACCCUGGCAUAUGGAAGUUCCUGGGGGGCCAGGGACUGAAUCCAAGCGGGGCGGCAACGUUGGAUCCUUUAACCUGCUGCACCAGGCCUGGAAUGGAACCCACGCUUCACCAGCAACCUGAGCCGCUGCAGUGGGGUUCUCAACCCACUGUGCCCUAGUGGGAACUCCACGCCUCCUCAUUUUAGAAUUAAGAGGUCCACUGUUCUGUUUUUCGAGUGUAUUCCUGAAUGAAAUCUUUGAAAACAGGUCAUAGGGAUCGCUUCGAUUCCUGGAUGAGUUCAAGCAAUCACUUGUCUCCGAUUCUGAUGUUCAGAACAGGUGGUCCAGGUGGGGACAUUCGCCUGAAGCCACACCUGCAGAACCGGAAUGGCGUGCAGACUGGACGCUCCGGGAGGCAGAGGGUUUGGGGCUCCUCCAGGCCUGGUCUCAGUGCUCACACAGUCAGUGCCCAGGCCCGCGAAGAUGCGCCAGGACUGUAUGCCUUAGUAGAGUGAAGGGCUGCUUGUCUGAAGUUUCCACGGAACAGGAGGGCACCCUAAUCUGGAGGUGGGCAUCAAUGCUUUUUUUUUCCUAAGUUAUGUUUCCAAACCGGGUGGCUACUUUGGCGAGACCCCAAACACCCAACGACCAGCCAAAUCAAACCCCCAGACACCCUUCAAGCUUCCCCAUCGACGGCUGGGAGCCACAGCAGAGCGUGUCCCCGCUCUGAGGGGCAGCCUUAAACUUCCGAAGCUGACUGGCCGCGGCCCUGACCCGCUCCUUCCCUCUGAAACGCAGGCCCGCGUCUCCCGCUGGCCUCCCUCCCUUUGGGGGUGGUUUCUUGCCGCCGCCUCCGUGGGGGUUUGUGUGUAGCACGGUGGCAUCAAGAAAAAAGCGAACACUUACGUGGUGCUUGCUGCCCUUUGAGACAGUUCUUCUUUGACGAAGGCCUUGCCCCUGUGUGGCCAGAAUCCCAGCCGGCCUGACUUGGGAUUAACGGUGUCCAUUCGUGGAGGAAGGUGGGGGCAGGUGCGUCAGAGCACGUGCUGCCCGUCAGACGGCUCAGCUGAUGACCCUGUGCCGGAAAAGGACUCGGCUGGCAUGGCCCCUCGCGGGGACAGGUGCUCAGGCACAGAGUGGGUCCCUUCGGCAAAGGAUGACGCCCGGGCAUGAAUAUGUAUGUUUUGAGGAAGGAGUGACAGUGGAGACAGGACAAAGGACCGCAGCCAGGGCCCCCUCCCCAAGGCCUAUAAUGACACCAGGAGCCAGAGCUUCCUUGAGGAAAGCUGGUCCUGCUCACUUUUCGAGGUGAAACUGCACCUGAAGCCACGUUCCUGCGACGGGAACACUGCGGGCUCCUUCUGGCAGCAUCAUCAACACGACGUCUUUAUGCUGACGGCAUCCUCUGUCCAGAGACGUCGGAAAAAAACAGGAUGAGCCCCGUGGGUCUAAAGAGGACGCUCCGCUUCCUUUCUCAAAACCUUCCGCCGUGUCCUCCCACCUUUGGUCUUGAAUUCUAGAAGAUGGAUCUGCUGGCCCCGGACCCAAGAAGACAGUGCGCCACGGGUCUUUUCCACAGCAGCUCCGUCUCACGAAACACAGGUGCUUUUUACCGGAUCUUUCCUGCGGCAUUUAAAAAAAUCUGCCCUGCACUUUGCCACAUUGAGUUUUUCCAUCCCCAAGGCACCGCUGCGAGCUGGUGGGAGGGGAAAGCGUUAAGUUCUCUUAGGCCUGCGGAGAGGAGAGGUCGACAGGUCCUGAAUCACACAGGGACUCAGAAUACCUGCCUGGGCGGUUUCUGAGUCAGUUUGAGGGCUGGCUGUUUAUACAGCAGGAGGUAUUUCUUCAUUUGGGGAGCUUCAUUUGGGGGGGGGCUCACUGAGUGUUUACUCCCUGCUCCCAAGCCAACAAAGUGAAAACAAAAAUAUAUUCAGCAAAGUGUGUAGA